This 732-nucleotide long non-coding RNA is filed under the name Androctonus crassicauda. The record is from RNAcentral. Lineage: Eukaryota; Metazoa; Arthropoda; Arachnida; Scorpiones; Buthidae.
UAAUUACAAGUUCUUUUAAGAUUUCAAUGGAUUCGUUUGGCGAAAAAUAAGCACAUAUGUAUACAAUAUAUAAUAUAUUUCUAAUAUGCAGUGCCAAUUUUAAUAUCCUAAAUAUUACUAAUUUCCUUAAAUGGUGUCCGUUUGCCCCACAGUUACCUUAUAUAGGAGAGAACGUAAGUGUAAGAUAGAGCGGGCGAAAUUCAAAAAUUACGAAGUCGAAUCUAUUCCACAACAGAAUAUAAUUAACAGCAGCUUACAAGUUAGUCCCGCUCUACCACAUAUUUCAAAGCGGUCUCGUAUAGUAAUAACGCGUAAUGGAACUUGCAGGUGGUUUACGUAACGCAGCCUUCAAUGCACUCUGCAAGGUUGAUGCAAAUAUUCAUCUAAAUAUUUUUUCGAUGAUUUUUUGCAAGUUUUAAAGGUGAGCUGAUACCGUAUUGUAGGGCAUGUACAUGCCCUUAAACUAAACCUACCUUGAACCUUAUCAGGCGUAUUGAUCCACGAAGUAAGUUUAUGACAAUAUUUCUUUGCUUCAUCUUCUUUCGCUUUCUUUUCUUUGCGCUUUUGCGCUCCACUUGGAUAUACACGUUUCAUAUUUUCACUUUUGGCCAAAAAAUCAAUAAAUGGAAAGAAUAAAUAAAAUAAAACGUCUAUUUUAUUACUCGUAAUUCAAAUCUUCUCAAUUUUAUUUUCAAUAUGUCAAAGCUGUUUCGGUACACCGUACUUUCUCAG